GACGAACGCUGGCGGCGUGCUUAACACAUGCAAGUCGAACGGAAAGGCCCUGCUUUUGUGGGGUGCUUGAGUGGCGAACGGGUGAGUAACACGUGAGUAACCUGCCCUUGACUUUGGGAUAACUUCAGGAAACUGGGGCUAAUACCGGAUAGUAGCUCCUGCUGCAUGGUGGGGGUUGGAAAGUUUCGGCGGUUGGGGAUGGACUCGCGGCUUAUCAGCUUGUUGGUGGGGUUGUGGCUUACCAAGGCUUUGACGGGUAGCCGGCCUGAGAGGGUGACCGGCCACAUUGGGACUGAGAUACGGCCCAGACUCCUACGGGAGGCAGCAGUGGGGAAUAUUGCACAAUGGGCGGAAGCCUGAUGCAGCAACGCCGCGUGCGGGAUGACGGCCUUCGGGUUGUAAACCGCUUUCGCCUGUGACGAAGCGUGAGUGACGGUAAUGGGUAAAGAAGCACCGGCUAACUACGUG
Molecule: ribosomal RNA, 468 nt
Filed under: uncultured bacterium
Lineage: Bacteria
Description: partial 16S ribosomal RNA
Rfam family: Bacterial small subunit ribosomal RNA
Source: RNAcentral